AAAAUACUCCCGCUCUUCACCAAUAUUCUUAGCCUCGCUUUUUAGUUUCAGUCCAAAAAAUCCUCGCCGCCCCUUUGAAGUGACUCCAAAAUCUGUAUACUCCCCUAUUUGGCACCUCUGAUUCUCCGUCUUCUCGCACUCAACGCAUCUUACUGGAAAACCGAGGGAACAUCGGGGACAUGUAGGUUCUUUCGUUAACGAGUAUCCAUGUUCUUUGUUUCACUUGUGGCAAGGGUGAUGGUAAGGAGUAUACUAGAGGCGGAAUUCAGAAAUGGAUGUGCGAAUAAAGGUACUAUUAAGUAUCAAGUUGCUCCAAAUGCACAGGCGUGAAAUUGUGAUAGCAACAAAGUAUGCUAGUGGUUUUGAUAACUUUUUUAUUGCACCCGAAGCUCAGUUCAAGUACAACAGGUAUAAUAAAUCAACUCUAGUACUCAAUUCUUUUUUCUAGGCUUGGGUUGUAUACAAAGAAUAAAGCUUACAGGUGUAAAUGACCCAGGCUACUCGCAAGUUACUCGAGAUCGGCUCAAAACCAGACGACCUUAAAAGGAGCUGGUGUCCGAGUUCGAAUCUAAACUUUACUUACUGACCUUGAGCCAGCUUGUGAGACUAAUUAGCAGGACUAUUAUUUUUACUUCCUCCUUAUUCUGUACUUUCACAACAUAGUUUUUGUGUUUUUUUUAAUGUUCUGAGGUCCAUGGCCCUGUUGACACAAAGGAGACGGGAUCAAUUAUGUGCAGUAUCAUUUCUUUAUGAUUUGUGAACCAAGAUUCAAGUUGGACCGAUGUGAAAUAGAAUCGGGAAGGAGUAGAGGAAUACUCUAUUGCGGAUAUUGAUGGUAUUCGUGAAGAUUGGCCGGCUUAUGUCGUUACCUUAUUUUUAAGUAACGAUGUAUUGAAAAACAAUUCUUUUUUUUUUUUGUUAACGUUAAAGUAUUUGUAGUAUACUUGACAAAUGAUUAUAUAAUGGAUUGUUUUGUUAUAUA
Molecule: long non-coding RNA, 982 nt
Organism: Helianthus annuus (common sunflower)
Lineage: Eukaryota; Viridiplantae; Streptophyta; Magnoliopsida; Asterales; Asteraceae
Exons: 4
Source: RefSeq, a predicted model, not a curated record